UUCUUUAUUUCAUCUCACUCUCCUCCUUACCCUCACCUAGGGUUGCACACUUCCCCAUGCAACCCUUAAAUUCCUAAAUCCACCAAUCACCUCCUACCUUUCAUAAAUCCCAAAAAAACAAACAGUUGGUGCAUCUCUGCUCUGCUCUCUCUAUCUCUCUCUCUCUCUCACCCAAUCACCUCCUUCUUCUUCUUCUUCUCCUUCCUCUCCCCUCUCAACCCCACCACCCAAAAACUCAAAAGAAAGUCCUCAAUUGAGUCCCCAAAACUUUGCUUGCUUCCUUCUUUUUAGCCUAAUGAGAAAAAAGCAAGGAAACUAGCCACAAGCAAACAAAACAUGGAGCAAAGUAGCAAAUAAGAAGCAACACCAACCCCUUUUUCCUCUGCUCCUCAAACCCUUGUUUUUCACUCCUCUCUCUUUUAUCUCUGAUCUGUUUGUUCCGGCAGGUCUGGUUUUCUCUGCUUCUGCUGGUGAAAAAGACCCACCCUUUUAAAUGGAGUACACAUCAAGGCCUCAGGAACAAACCCGAGAUCAUCAUCAUCCUCACCAUCAUCAUCAGAAGCCGCCUGCUUCAUAUUCUCCACUAAACUCCCCCACCAGCAAUGGCAGCAGCAACAACAACAACAACUCCGGAGUUCAAACUCCGACAACUCCAAAGCUGACUCCCAGAUCUGACUCCAACCCUUACGCCACCACCUUCGUCCAGGCCGACUCCUCCAACUUCAAGCACGUAGUCCAAAUGCUCACCGGCUCAUCGGAGACCACAACGAAGCAAACUAACAAGCACACACAGGAGUCAUCGUCGUCCCCACUGUCGUCCAAGAACUUCACCAUCCCUCCGGUGAAGACCGCGCCGAAGAAGCAGCAGGGCUUCAAGCUCUACGAGAGGAGGAGCCAGAACCUCAAGAACAGCCUGAUGAUCAAUACCCUGAUGCCCAAUUUUGCCCACCACCGGAGCCAAGCCUCUUCUGGGUUCUCGCCGCGUCACCCGGCCGAGAUCUUGUCGCCGAGUCUGCUCGACUUUCCGUCGCUGACGCUGAGCCCGGUGACCCCAUUGAACGACGACCAUUUUGACAAGUCGGCGUCGUCGCCGUUGGGGAACUCUUCGUCGGAGGAGGAUCGGGCUAUAGCCGAGAAGGGUUUUUACUUGCACCCGUCUCCGAGAACGAGCACCAGUACUCCCAGAGAGCCAGAGCCCCGGCUUUUGCCAUUGUUUCCGGUCACUUCGCCGAGAGUUUCAGGGUCGUCUUCUUGAUCCAAUCCAAGGAAAAAGAGAGAGAGAGAGAGAAGUGUAAACUAUGAGUGUUUGGGAUCAAUCAUAAGGAAAAGGGUAAUGGGGUUAUGGAUGGUUUUCAAUCACAGGUGCUCUAUAUAUCCCUCACUCUUCUAGGUAGAAUCUGCAGGGUUAUGAAAUUGGAAUAUGAAAUUUUCAUUUUACCAACUGGCAUUAGUUUAACAUCUUUAUGCUAGAACAAAAAUGCCAUAUUUUCCUCAACUUGGGUUUGUGUGGUGGGAGACGACUUUUCAGAAGAUGAGGGUGGUGGAGAAUCAGCAAUGGGAAACUUUUGCUUCAAGUUUUUACUGCUCAUAAACCAAAUUGCUUCAGAACAUAUUUAUAUGCAAUAUUCUCCUGUAUAUAUAUUUACUUGAUAUUUGAGAGUGAAAUUCAACUAGUUCUCAAGGGUCCCCUCAGUUUAGGACCACAUUUCGCAUUCAGCAUUCAGUAGUGCUAUAUAUAAGCAAGCAAGUAUGAAACUUUUACCUAAUCAUGAUGCACUACUUUGUGAGCUGUUGUUGCACUUGUUGAGCUAAUAUUGUACUGUCCUCCUAGAACUUGGUAACUAUAUAUCUCCACCUUAAGAGGAGGAUUUUUACCAUAAAAUCUGAUGGCCUUCGA
Molecule: RNA transcript, 1897 nt
Organism: Rosa rugosa (rugosa rose)
Lineage: Eukaryota; Viridiplantae; Streptophyta; Magnoliopsida; Rosales; Rosaceae
Gene name: VQ motif-containing protein 4-like
Exons: 2
Source: RefSeq, a predicted model, not a curated record